GGCCGUGUACCAAAGUGGACUAAUGGGGCUGAUUGCAAAUCAGUUGUUCGUGGGUUCGAAUCCCACCGCGGCCU
Molecule: transfer RNA, 74 nt
Filed under: Poriferisphaera corsica
Lineage: Bacteria; Pseudomonadati; Planctomycetota; Phycisphaerae; Phycisphaerales; Phycisphaeraceae
Rfam family: tRNA
About the family: Transfer RNA (tRNA) molecules are approximately 80 nucleotides in length. Their secondary structure includes four short double-helical elements and three loops (D, anti-codon, and T loops). Further hydrogen bonds mediate the characteristic L-shaped molecular structure. tRNAs have two regions of fundamental functional importance: the anti-codon, which is responsible for specific mRNA codon recognition, and the 3' end, to which the tRNAs corresponding amino acid is attached (by aminoacyl-tRNA synthetases). tRNAs cope with the degeneracy of the genetic code in two manners: having more than one tRNA (with a specific anti-codon) for a particular amino acid; and 'wobble' base-pairing, i.e. permitting non-standard base-pairing at the 3rd anti-codon position.
Source: Rfam by way of RNAcentral